This 330-nucleotide ribosomal RNA is filed under the name uncultured bacterium. Its description in RNAcentral is "bacterial SSU rRNA". It matches the Rfam family "Bacterial small subunit ribosomal RNA", at positions 568 to 898 of the family's 1533-position model. The record is from RNAcentral.
CGCGUAGGCGGAUGUUUAAGUCAGGGGUCAAAUCCCAGGGCUCAACCCUGGAACUGCCUUUGAUACUGGACAUCCUGAGUACGGGAGAGGUGAGUGGAACUCCGAGUGUAGAGGUGAAAUUCGUAGAUAUUCGGAAGAACACCAGUGGCGAAGGCGACUCACUGGCCCGUUACUGACGCUGAGGCGCGAAAGCGUGGGGAGCAAACAGGAUUAGAUACCCUGGUAGUCCACGCCGUAAACGAUGAGUGCUAGUUGUCGGCAUGCAUGCAUGUCGGUGACGCAGCUAACGCAUUAAGCACUCCGCCUGGGGAGUACGGUCGCAAGAUUAAA